RNAcentral lists this transfer RNA (64 nucleotides) under Poecilimon cretensis. Its description in RNAcentral is "tRNA-Phe". It matches the Rfam family "tRNA". From Rfam's summary of the family: Transfer RNA (tRNA) molecules are approximately 80 nucleotides in length. Their secondary structure includes four short double-helical elements and three loops (D, anti-codon, and T loops). The record is from RNAcentral. Lineage: Eukaryota; Metazoa; Arthropoda; Insecta; Orthoptera; Tettigoniidae.
ACUUAAGUAGCUUAAAUAGAGCAUAACAUUGAAGAUGUUAAGGUGGUAGGUGUACCCUUGGGUA